GAAGGUAACUACUAAUCAUAGAAUCUUAGAAUAGCUUGGGUUAGAAGGGACCUUAAAGAUCAUAUGGUUUCAAACCUCCUGCCGUAGUAAUGUUACCCAUUAGUUCAAGUUGCUCAGGUACCAAUCCAGCUAAAUUAAAGGGUGAAUAUUAAAUUAAAAUAGGAAACUAGAAAUGGUCUUAAAACUGUAUAUCUUUCAAAUGUCACCGAAGGUGCAUCUCAGAAAGAUCUGGCCUUUUCUGUGUCACAUCUGUAUACCAGUCUGAUUAGGUAUUCACCAAGGAAUAAAUUUGAAAGAAUUCCUGGUAAAUAGGCUAGUGGGUGAAUUUUUUCUCAUGGAUCCACAUGAUGAAUUUUGACACUGAUAAUCCACACAUGAUUUCUAAGAAUAUUUCUCAGAUUUAGAAAUUGCCAUCAGGUAUGAUACUGGUGGGUUUGUGUGUCUAAGAGGAGAAAUAGUUUACAGUCAGAAAAAUAAAUACAUUUUACCUUUUGGUAAAUUUGGAUGACUAUAUUCUGUAAAUUAUGUUUUGUUUUUCUUCACAUAAAAUUGUCUCCUAAAUACCAGCUGGCAGAGAAGUUGCCUUUUGCAGAACAGAUGAUUUUUUCACAGCAGUUACUUGAUUCCUUCCCUAGCUGUCAUUUUUUCAAGGAACAGAUCACAGCAAACAUUCCUAAAAGUAAGGAUUUUCUUCUUGACCCUUAUCAACACUGAGUUUGAAAUGAUGGAAAUUUCAGAGCUUGUUGCCCACUAUGAAGGAGUUUCUGAUUUCCAACCCCUAUUAUUUAUUGCUUAUGAUUCUGUUUGGGUUAGAGCCCAUCAUUUCUGCUCUACUCCCCUCUGCCCCUUUUAAAACGCGUGAUUAAAUCCCACAGACACGGUGAGCUUUCCUGAUACUCGAAGCUGCCACUUCUCUCUGAUGCACGCAUCACUUUUCCCUGCUCCCUUCUCCCCCGCAGCUGCCGUGCGUUGCGUUAAUUCCCGGGCAGCUGCUGAGGGAGCUCCUGCAGCUCCCAUGCAUGCCUCUUCCCCAUUGACGCUAAAGGGACUCCAUCCCGGAGGGCCUGGGCCAUGCCCUGCCCGUGUACCUGACUGGCAAGGGGGGCCAGAGCCUGCCCCGAGCGCUGCCCUUCUGGGCAGGAGGGGAACGCGGUGUCGGUGUUGCUGUUGCUGGGGGAGGCGGCGGUGGUGAUCCUUUUCUGCUCAGCUUCGUGACUGUGUCUUGCGCCUUCUCAGUUUCAACUAGCUUAGAGGCUCAUUUUGUGAAGUCCUUGGCUUGGUGGCUUUCUGGUUUGUUUGGUUUUUGUCUGAUUUUGGUUUUUUUUUUUUUUUUUUGUUGUUGUUUUUCUUUGGAUUUUUGUUCUUUGUGUUUUGGCUGUUCUCAUUUAUUUAUUUUAAUUCUCUCAUUCCUAGAGCAGUAAGGAUGCUUUGUUGCUUUGAUUACACCUAGCUUUCCUGAUUUUGUUGUUACCUUUCUUUAAAUGUUUGUCCCUUUGUCAAUUAUGCGCUAAUCUGUUUGCCUUUCAACUUGCUUCUUUCUUUUCAGGGAUUUACAAUAUUAUCGAGUUAAGGAUUCUCACAGUAGAUGGUAAUGGAGAAAUACAGUUAAGGAAGUUUGUUUAAGAGUGCCGAUUAAAACACCCUUCUGGAGAGAAAAAAAAAGGUCAACAACCAGAGUUUUAUGAUCUGCUUUGAAGUAAUGCACUUCUGGAGAUAGUUUCCAGGUAAUUAGUCUAAGAAUCAACAGGGAAGAUUCUGUCCCAUGUUCAAAGGGGAUCUUUUUUGCCAAAAUUACUAAUUACUC
Molecule: long non-coding RNA, 1804 nt
Organism: Corvus hawaiiensis (hawaiian crow)
Lineage: Eukaryota; Metazoa; Chordata; Aves; Passeriformes; Corvidae
Exons: 3
Source: RefSeq, a predicted model, not a curated record